Molecule: ribosomal RNA, 495 nt
Filed under: uncultured bacterium
Lineage: Bacteria
Description: partial 16S ribosomal RNA
Rfam family: Bacterial small subunit ribosomal RNA
Source: RNAcentral
UGACCGCUGGCGGCGUGCCUACUACAUGCACGUCGAGCGAACAGACGAGGAGCUUGCUCCUCUGACGUUAGCGGCGGACGGGUGAGUAACACGUGGAUAACCUACCUAUAAGACUGGGAUAACUUCGGGAAACCGGAGCUAAUACCGGAUAAUAUAUUGAACCGCAUGGUUCAAUAGUGAAAGACGGUUUUGCUGUCACUUAUAGAUGGAUCCGAGCCGCAUUAGCUAGUUGGUAAGGUAACGGCUUACCAAGGCAACGAUGCGUAGCCGACCUGAGAGGGUGAUCGGCCACACUGGAACUGAGACACGGUCCAGACUCCUACGGGAGGCAGCAGUAGGGAAUCUUCCGCAAUGGGCGAAAGCCUGACGGAGCAACGCCGCGUGAGUGAUGAAGGUCUUCGGAUCGUAAAACUCUGUUAUUAGGGAAGAACAAAUGUGUAAGUAACUAUGCACGUCUUGACGGUACCUAAUCAGAAAGCCACGGCUAACUACGUG